CACAUUCUAUUCUAUCUCACAAAAAAUGUUAUUUGAAAAAAGUUCAAGCUCAGAAUCUUCUGAUGAAAAUCCAUACAGAGAAAUUGAUUGAAUGGUUGGCGAUUUUUUUACUCAUCAUUUACCAAACACAUUCUUUGCAAGAGGUCAUAGACUUCGAAAUGUGAAUGAUGACAUUCUGAUUCCAGCAGAUAGAAACCGCGAAAAAGGGCGUUACUGUAAUACCUCGUAUUUUCGGAAUUUAUAAAUAUAUUUUAAUGUAUUUAUAAAGGAUUUUACGAAUUUAAUUACAUUUAAUGUGAUUUAAAUGUAUUUUAUUUUAAAUAAUUUAAUUAUUAAUUAUUUAAGAAACUGGAUUUUUAUUAAAUAAAUUAAAUGAAUUUAUUUAUUCGGGAAUUGUUGGGUCGUAUUUCAAAACUAUUUUAAUUAUAUUCCGAGCCCAACCCAAUUCCGUUGGUAAACCCAACUAUAGGCCUGCACGCAAUUAAUUCUAAUUAAAUCCAAUUGCAAGCUUAACACAAUUUCCUAAAACUUAAGCCCACUAGGGGUGGAAAACCUAUAAAUAUAACCCUCCCUUCUCUUGAUCCCCACACAAAAAUUCAGAAAAUUCCUCUCUCCCUUUUGCUCUCUUCGUCUCCCCCUCCUCCUUGCCGCAAAACACGAGCUCGCUGCUCGUUGUGAGCUGCUCACCUCGCCUCACCCGCACGCACGCAGUCGAGCAUUGCUUGUUGCUUCCUUGCCAUGUGCUCGUACGCAGCGCCUCGCCCUCGUCCCUCUUCGUGCAUGCUGUCGUGCCUCUCUCACACGACCCGCACACUUCCUUCAUCUCUCUACCUCUCGUGUCGCACAGCAGCACAACCCGCGUGUUGUUGUUGUGCGGUAUUGUUGUUGUUGUCGAGCGAGCCAGCGCCCAACGCCCAGCGAGGCCUCACCCCGCGACGCUGCCCUGCUCACUCGUGCACGCCCCUGCCCCGCGCUGCACCUGUUGCUGAUGUUCGUCCCUUGUGCCGCACACACACACAGUGCUCGUGUGUGUUGUGUGUUGGUGUUCCACACACUCCGAGGUGAUUUCUAGCUUUGAGUCGUGAUUCGCAAAGUGGCCCCCGUACUUUGGUAUUCAAGAUUUCGAAUAAACAGGUUGUUAGAGAUAACUUGCAGGAGAAGUUAUCAUGGGAUUGUGAUGAGAGUUUAUGUUUUCAUACUUCCGUAUUUUAUAAACUCUAUUUAAUCUUAUAGUCAUGACUAAACUAAUUAUUUGGCUAUUAGUUAAUGGAUUUUAACGGUUUUUGUUUUGGGCCGUAACGGUUCCACCUUUGUAGUCACACCAUUAACUAUUUAUUAUAUUUUGAAAGUUAGUUAUUUCCGCUGUGUAAUUCUGGUAAAUAGCCUUAGCCGUUAUCACGGUGGCGGUGAUAUCUUGGUAAUUCUUUUAUAUUAGUUGGAAAAUGGAAUUAUAAAUAUAAGGAAUUAUCAGGGUGUUACAGUUACCGCUUGUUUAAUGAUUACUUUGCGGUUAAUCCAAUAUAUUAAGACAAGCAGUUUCGUCGAAGGUUUCGAAUGAGAAGACCUUUGUUUUUCUGUAUCAUGAACUAAGUGGUUGAAAUGAUGUUUUCUUGCAACAUAGAAGAAAUGUUGCCAGAAAACUAGGGUUAUCAGGAUUGCAAAAAUGCACUGCAGCUAUCAGAAUGGUAGCAUAUGGUUUGGCUCCGAAUGCGGUUGAUUAAUAUCUACGAAUGGGUGAAACAACUUCAAGAAAAUAAUUAUUACAUUUCACUCAAGGGGUAAUCAAGCAUUUUGAAGAGGAUUACCUAAGAAGUUCUACAAAUGAAGACUUAAGAAGAAUCCUUUAUCAAAAUGAAAUACGCGGAUUUCCUGGUAUGAUCAGUAGUAUUGAUUGUAUGCACUUGGAAUGGAAGAACUGCCCUACUGCAUGGAGAGGUCAAUACCAAGGACGCAGCGGGAAAGUUACCCAAAUUCUUGAAGCUGUUACAUAUCAAGAUCUAUGGAUUUGACAUUAAUUUUUUGGUAUUCCACUAUUCCUGGUUCAUGACCUUAAUGUUCUGCACCGUUCUCCUGUUUUUGAUGAUGUUUUGCAAGGUAGGAUACCUCCUAUAAAUUUUUAGGUGAAUGUUCAUGAAUACAACAUGGGAAACUACCUCACAUAUGGUAUUUAUCCAAAUUGGGCUACAUUCAUUUAAGGAUUUUCUCGUCCCCGACUUGAAACGGAAAGGUUGUUUGCUGAUAAACAAGCGCAUGUUUGUAAGGAUGUUGAACAUGCGUUCGGAGUUGUGUAAGCAAGAUUCUCCAUUGUACUAAAACCAUCUCUUGCUUACGAUGAAGAUAUAUUAGGAUACAUAAUGAAGGCUUGUAUCAUCUUACACAACAUGAUAGUUAAGGAUGAAUGUAAUAUGUAUGUCUGAGUUGAUGUGUUACGAAGGUACUAUGAGGAAGACCUUUCGAGCUUAACUGCAACAGUGAAUAAUGGUGGACUGGACAACCCGUCAACAUUGAUGCAUACUUGGGGAGAAGAACAUCUUUGCGUAGCAGUCAAGCUCAUCGCUCUUUGAAAGAGGAUUUCAUUAAGCACAUGUGGCAAAAAUACGGAGGCAAUAAUCAUUAAAACCAUGUCUCGAAGAAGGUUGUCAUUUUAGUGGUUGCGUUUGAUUUAUCGUUUUUUUAUGAUGUGAUUAACGCACUUUACUUUGGCUUUAUGAUAUUUUAGUCCAUAGAAUAAUGUGUUUAGUUGUUGUAAUGUUCUAGCUAUCCGAAACUUGUCUUGUUUUAGUCCAUCUAUUUUGUAUUUUAUUCAA
Molecule: long non-coding RNA, 2807 nt
Organism: Spinacia oleracea (spinach)
Lineage: Eukaryota; Viridiplantae; Streptophyta; Magnoliopsida; Caryophyllales; Amaranthaceae
Exons: 3
Source: RefSeq, a predicted model, not a curated record